RNAcentral lists this small RNA (996 nucleotides) under Pan troglodytes (chimpanzee). RNAcentral's name for it is "retained intron". The record is from RNAcentral. Lineage: Eukaryota; Metazoa; Chordata; Mammalia; Primates; Hominidae.
CGCCAACGCGCAGGUGCUAGCGGCCCCUUCGCCCUGCAGCCCCUUUGCUUUUACUCUGUCCAAAGUUAACAUGUCAUUGAAAAACGAGCCACGGGUAAAUACCUCUGCACUGCAGAAAAUUGCUGCUGACAUGAGUAAUAUCAUAGAAAAUCUGGACACGCGGGAACUCCACUUUGAGGGAGAGGAGGUAGACUACGACGUGUCUCCCAGCGAUCCCAAGAUACAAGAAGUGUAUAUCCCUUUCUCUGCUAUUUAUAACACUCAAGGAUUUAAGGAGCCUAAUAUACAGACGUAUCUCUCCGGCUGUCCAAUAAAAGCACAAGUUCUGGAAGUGGAACGCUUCACAUCUACAACAAGGGUACCAAGUAUUAAUCUUUACACUAUUGAAUUAACACAUGGGGAAUUUAAAUGGCAAGUUAAGAGGAAAUUCAAGCAUUUUCAAGAAUUUCACAGAGAGCUGCUCAAGUACAAAGCCUUUAUCCGAAUCCCCAUUCCCACUAGAAGACACACGUUUAGGAGGCAAAACGUCAGAGAGGAGCCUCGAGAGAUGCCCAGUUUGCCCCGUUCAUCUGAAAACAUGAUAAGAGAAGAACAAUUCCUUGGUAGAAGAAAACAACUGGAAGAUUACUUGACAAAGAUACUAAAAAUGCCCAUGUAUAGAAACUAUCAUGCCACAACAGAGUUUCUUGAUAUAAGCCAGCUGUCUUUCAUCCAUGAUUUGGGACCAAAGGGCAUAGAAGGUAUGAUAAUGAAAAGAUCUGGAGGACACAGAAUACCGGGCUUGAAUUGCUGUGGUCAGGGAAGAGCCUGCUACAGAUGGUCAAAAAGAUGGUUAAUAGUGAAAGAUUCCUUUUUAUUGUAUAUGAAACCAGACAGCGGUGCCAUUGCCUUCGUCCUGCUGGUAGACAAAGAAUUCAAAAUUAAGGUGGGGAAGAAGGAGACAGAAACGAAAUAUGGAAUCCGAAUUGAUAAUCUUUCAAGGUACACAUUUCAAAU